Molecule: ribosomal RNA, 1511 nt
Filed under: uncultured Bordetella sp.
Lineage: Bacteria; Pseudomonadati; Pseudomonadota; Betaproteobacteria; Burkholderiales; Alcaligenaceae
Description: partial 16S-23S ribosomal RNA intergenic spacer
Rfam family: Bacterial small subunit ribosomal RNA
Source: RNAcentral
CGGGGUUACGUAUUACGCAUCAGGUAGUAACAGAGGGUUCGACUCUGGCCUGUGAUUGAACGCUGGCGGGAUGCUUGCACAUGCAAGUCGAACGGCAGCACGGACUUCGGUCUGGUGGCGAGUGGCGAACGGGUGAGUAAUGUAUCGGAACGUGCCUAGUAGCGGGGGAUAACUACGCGAAAGCGUAGCUAAUACCGCAUACGACGCCCUUCGGGGGAAAGCGGGGACUCCGGGCCUCGCACUAUUAGAGCGGCCGAUAUCGGAUUAGCUAGUUGGUGGGGUAACGGCUCACCGGGCGACGAUCCGUAGCUGGUUUGAGAGGACGACCACACUGGACCGGAGACACGGCCCAGACUCCUACGGGAGGCAGCAGUGGGGAAUUUUGGACAAUGGGGGAAACCCUGAUCCAGCCAUCCCGCGUGCGAUGAAGGCCUUCGGGUUGUAAAGCACUUUGGCAGGAAAGAAAACGGCACGGGAUAAUGAGCCCGUGCAACUGACGGUACCUGCAGAAUAAGCACCGGCUAACUACGUGCCAGCAGCCGCGGUAAUACGUAGGGUGCAAGCGUUAAUCGGAAUUACUGGGCGUAAAGCGUGCGCAGGCGGUUCGGAAAGGUACAUGAAAUCCCAGAGCUUAACUUUGGAACUGCAUUUUUAACCGAGCUAGAGUGUGUCAGAGGAAAAUUCGCGUGUAGCAGUGAAAUGCGUAGAUAUGCGGAGGAACACCGAUGGCGAAGGCAGCCUCCUGGGAUAACACUGACGCUCAUGCACGAAAGCGUGGGGAGCAAAACAGGAUUAGAUACCCUGGUAGUCCACGCCCUAAACGAUGUCAACCAGCUGUUGGGGCCUUCUCGGGCCUGGUAGCGCAGCUAACGCGUGAAGUUGACCGCCUGGGGAGUACGGUCGCAAGAUUAAAACUCAAAGGAAUUGACGGGGACCCGCACAAGCGGUGGAUGAUGUGGAUUACCUGAUGCAACGCGAAAACCUUACCUACCCUUGACAUGUCUGGAAUCCCGAAGAGAUUUGGGGGAGUGCUCGCAAGAGAACCGGAACACAGGUGCUGCAUGGCUGUCGUCAGCUCGUGUCGUGAGAUGUUGGGUUAAGUCCCGCAACGAGCGCAACCCUUGUCAUUAGUUGCUACGAAAGGGCACUCUAAUGAGACUGCCGGUGACAAACCGGAGGAAGGUGGGGAUGACGUCAAGUCCUCAUGGCCCUUAUGGGUAGGGAUUCACACGUCAUACAAUGGUCGGGACAGAGGGUCGCCAACCCGCGAGGGGGAGCCAAAUCCUGGUGAAACCCGAUCGUAGUCCGGAUCGCAGUCUGCAACUCGACUGCGUGAAGUCGGAAUCGCUAGUAAUCGCGGAUCAGCAUACCGUGGUGAAUACGUUCCCGGUCUUGCACACACCGCCCGUCACACCACAUGGGAGUGGGUUUUACCAGAAGUAGCAAAUAACCGUAAGGAGGGCGAUUACCACGGUAGGAUUCAUGACUGGGGUGAAGUCGUAACAAGGCAG